GGGUCGGUAGCCCGAUUUGGCAAGGGGGCGGGCUGUAACCCCGCUUAACCACCAAGUGAGUUCGAAUCUCACCCGACCCA
Molecule: transfer RNA, 80 nt
Filed under: Anaerolineae bacterium
Lineage: Bacteria; Bacillati; Chloroflexota; Anaerolineae
Description: tRNA-Tyr
Rfam family: tRNA
About the family: Transfer RNA (tRNA) molecules are approximately 80 nucleotides in length. Their secondary structure includes four short double-helical elements and three loops (D, anti-codon, and T loops). Further hydrogen bonds mediate the characteristic L-shaped molecular structure. tRNAs have two regions of fundamental functional importance: the anti-codon, which is responsible for specific mRNA codon recognition, and the 3' end, to which the tRNAs corresponding amino acid is attached (by aminoacyl-tRNA synthetases). tRNAs cope with the degeneracy of the genetic code in two manners: having more than one tRNA (with a specific anti-codon) for a particular amino acid; and 'wobble' base-pairing, i.e. permitting non-standard base-pairing at the 3rd anti-codon position.
Source: RNAcentral